UACGGAGGGUGCAAGCGUUAUCCGGAUUCACUGGGUUUAAAGGGUGCGUAGGCGGGCAGGUAAGUCAGUGGUGAAAUCUUUGGGCUUAACCCGAAAACUGCCAUUGAUACUAUCUGUCUUGAAUAUUGUGGAGGUUAGCGGAAUAUGUCAUGUAGCGGUGAAAUGCUUAGAUAUGACAUAGAACACCUAUUGCGAAGGCAGCUAACUACGCAUAUAUUGACGCUGAGGCACGAAAGCGUGGGGAUCAAACAGG
This 253-nucleotide ribosomal RNA is filed under the name uncultured bacterium. Its description in RNAcentral is "partial 16S ribosomal RNA". It matches the Rfam family "Bacterial small subunit ribosomal RNA", at positions 524 to 776 of the family's 1533-position model. The record is from RNAcentral.